UACGUAGGUGGCAAGCGUUGUCCGGAAUUAUUGGGCGUAAAGCGCGCGCAGGUGGUUUCUUAAGUCUGAUGUGAAAGCCCACGGCUCAACCGUGGAGGGUCAUUGGAAACUGGGGAACUUGAGUGCAGGAGAGAAGAGUGGAAUUCCACGUGUAGCGGUGAAAUGCGUAGAGAUGUGGAGGAACACCAGUGGCGAAGGCGACUCUUUGGCCUGUAACUGACACUGAGGCGCGAAAGCGUGGGGAGCAGACAGG
RNAcentral lists this ribosomal RNA (253 nucleotides) under uncultured bacterium. RNAcentral's name for it is "partial 16S ribosomal RNA". It matches the Rfam family "Bacterial small subunit ribosomal RNA", at positions 524 to 776 of the family's 1533-position model. The record is from RNAcentral.